RNAcentral lists this ribosomal RNA (468 nucleotides) under uncultured bacterium. RNAcentral's name for it is "partial 16S ribosomal RNA". It matches the Rfam family "Bacterial small subunit ribosomal RNA", at positions 28 to 507 of the family's 1533-position model. The record is from RNAcentral.
GACGAACGCUGGCGGCGUGCUUAACACAUGCAAGUCGAACGGAAAGGCCCUGCUUUUGUGGGGUGCUCGAGUGGCGAACGGGUGAGUAACACGUGAGUCACCUGCCCUUGACUUUGGGAUAACUUCAGGCAACUGGGGCUAAUACCGGAUAGGAGCUCCUGCUGCAUGGUGGGGGUUGGAAAGUUUCGGCGGAUGGGGAUGGACUCGCGGCUUAUGAGUUUGUUGGUGGGGUAGUGGCUUACCAAGGCUUUGACGGGUAGCCGGCCUGGGAGGGUGACCGGCCACAUUGGGACUGAGAUACGGCCCAGACUCCUACGGGAGGCAGCAGUGGGGAAUAUUGCACAAUGGGCGGAAGCCUGAUGCAGCAACGCCGCGUGCGGGAUGACGGCCUUCGGGUUGUAAACCGCUUUCGCCUGUGACGAAGCGUGAGUGACGGUAAUGGGUAAAGAAGCACCAGCUAACUACGUG